RNAcentral lists this ribosomal RNA (1445 nucleotides) under uncultured bacterium. Its description in RNAcentral is "bacterial SSU rRNA". It matches the Rfam family "Bacterial small subunit ribosomal RNA". The record is from RNAcentral.
AGAGUUUGAUCCUGGCUCAGGAUGAACGCUGGCGGCGUGCUUAACACAUGCAAGUCGAAUGAACCUUCGGGUUAGUGGCGGACGGGUGAGUAACGCGUGAGAAUCUGCCCUCAGGAGGGGGAUAACAGUUGGAAACGACUGCUAAUACCCCAUAUGCCGAGAGGUGAAAUGAAUUUCGCCUGGGGAUGAGCUCGCGUCUGAUUAGCUUGUUGGUGGGGUAAUAGCCUACCAAGGCUUCGAUCAGUAGCUGGUCUGAGAGGACGAUCAGCCACACUGGGACUGAGACACGGCCCAGACUCCUACGGGAGGCAGCAGUGGGGAAUUUUCCGCAAUGGGCGAAAGCCUGACGGAGCAACGCCGCGUAAGGGAUGGAGGCCUUUGGGCUGUAAACCUCUUUUCUCAAGGAAGAAGAUCUGACGGUACUUGAGGAAUAAGCCACGGCUAAUUCCGUGCCAGCAGCCGCGGUAAUACGGGAGUGGCAAGCGUUAUCCGGAAUUAUUGGGCGUAAAGCGUCCGCAGGCGGCCGUUUAAGUCUGUUGUUAAAUCGUGGAGCUCAACUCCAUCACGGCAAUGGAAACUGUUCGGCUUGAGUAUGGUAGGGGCAGAGGGAAUUUCCGGUGUAGCGGUGAAAUGCGUAGAUAUCGGGAAGAACACCAGUGGCGAAAGCGCUCUGCUGGGCCAUUACUGACGCUCAUGGACGAAAGCCAGGGGAGCGAAAGGGAUUAGAUACCCCUGUAGUCCUGGCCGUAAACGAUGAACACUAGAUGUUGGGGGAAUCGACCCCCUCGGUGUCGUAGCUAACGCGUUAAGUGUUCCGCCUGGGGAGUACGCACGCAAGUGUGAAACUCAAAGGAAUUGACGGGGGCCUGCACAAGCGGUGGAGUAUGUGGUUUAAUUCGAUGCAACGCGAAGAACCUUACCAAGGCUUGACAUCCUGCGAAUCUCUAAGAAAUUAGAGAGUGCCUUCGGGAACGCAGUGACAGGUGGUGCAUGGCUGUCGUCAGCUCGUGUCGUGAGAUGUUGGGUUAAGUCCCGCAACGAGCGCAACCCACGUUUUUAGUUGCCAGCAUUCAGUUGGGCACUCUAGAAAGACUGCCGGUGACAAACCGGAGGAAGGUGUGGACGACGUCAAGUCAUCAUGCCCCUUACGCCUUGGGCUACACACGUACUACAAUGCUGCGGACAAAGAGUAGCGAUCUUGCGAAAGUUAGCUAAUCUCAUAAACCGUGGCUCAGUUCAGAUCGUAGGCUGCAACUCGCCUACGUGAAGGAGGAAUCGCUAGUAAUCGCAGGUCAGCAUGCUGCGGUGAAUACGUUCCCGGGCCUUGUACACACCGCCCGUCACACCAUGGAAGUUGGCCAUGCCCGAAGUCGUUACUCUAACCUUUUGGAAGAGGGCGCCGAAGGCAGGGCUAAUGACUGGGGUGAAGUCGUAACAAGGUAACC